RNAcentral lists this long non-coding RNA (757 nucleotides) under Solanum tuberosum (potato). RNAcentral describes it as "long non-coding RNA (STUB_LNC006851)". The record is from RNAcentral. Lineage: Eukaryota; Viridiplantae; Streptophyta; Magnoliopsida; Solanales; Solanaceae.
GCCCCAAUUUCUUUAAAGCUUUUUCAUUUUUCUUUAUUUUGAGUUCUUCUUCUUCUUCUUAAGGAAUCACUGCAUUUGUCGCCAUUGAUUGUUUGAUGGAAGCACAUCCAACACUCUACCCAUAAAAAUGAACUAUUAAAAAUAGAAAGGGUAGAGAAGAUGAUGACUUUCAUCGAAAAGUCAAUAAUUUUCAACUUAAAGUUCAUGAUUUUUUCGUUUGAACUCGCCGGAGGAUUCACCGGAGAAGAUCACCGAAAAAGAUUCAUGAGAAAAAUAAUGAUUUCUAAUGAAAAUUCUAUGACAUUUAUGCAUAAAAUUCAUGAUUAUAUUGUCUAAAAUUUUCAAAAGUUCACCGAGGAAAAUGAUUUCUCAAUCUUUGUCUUCUCUAUUCUCGCCGGAGAACUACCAAUAACCACCACAAUAUUAUUUCUAUGUCUCAUAUCAUCAAUAGCAUAUUUGAUUAAUCAAUUACACACACAAAAAAUACUGAUGAAUUACAUACAUACUUAUCAAGAUUUUAAAAGAAUUUUACAUAUCUUAAAUUUUUUAUUUGUUUCAUCGGUCGUAAUGGUGUUACCCAUCGCUUAUCACCGCUGCCAACAUCUCUAUACUUCAUAAUCGACUUAUUGACUCCUAUUUUCUCUUCAAGUUUAUAUCUUUUCCUUCAAUUUAUGAACAAUGGAGAAGAAAGAAGAAAUAGAUUUUAAAAAGAGAUAUGUAUCGUGAGAGAAGGAAGAUGCCCAAGUUUUUAAUUUUU